AUUGAACGCUGGCGGCGUGCUUAACACAUGCAAGUCGAGCGGUAACAGGUGUAGCAAUACAUGCUGGCGAGCGGCGAACGGGUGAGUAAUGCUUCGGAAUCUUCCUAGUAGUGGGGAAUAACCUGGGGAAACUCAGGCUAAUACCGCAUACGACCUACGGGUGAAAGCAGGGGAUCGCAAGACCUUGCGCUAUUAGAUGAGCCGAAGUCGGAUUAGCUAGUUGGUGAGGUAAAGGCUCACCAAGGCGACGAUCCGUAGCUGGUCUGAGAGGACGACCAGCCACACUGGGACUGAGACACGGCCCAGACUCCUACGGGAGGCAGCAGUGGGGAAUAUUGGGACAAUGGGGGCAACCCUGAUCCAGCGACGCCGCGUGUGUGAAGAAGGCCUGCGGGUUGUAAAGCACUUUUAGUGGGGAUGAAAAGCCAAGGGCUAAUACCCUUUGGUCUUGACCUAACCCAAAGAAAAAGCACCGGCUAACUCUGUGCCAGCAGCCGCGGUAAU
Molecule: ribosomal RNA, 504 nt
Filed under: uncultured bacterium
Lineage: Bacteria
Description: bacterial SSU rRNA
Rfam family: Bacterial small subunit ribosomal RNA
Source: RNAcentral